UCGGAUGUGGUGCACGGCGCACACCCACUACGAAUGUGGUUUGAUCAAUGAUGACCUUUCAAUGCGGGAGCCUGGGUUCGACUCCCAGCGUCCGAA
Mycena polygramma is the source of this 96-nucleotide non-coding RNA. The record is from the annotation of a GenBank genome assembly. Lineage: Eukaryota; Fungi; Basidiomycota; Agaricomycetes; Agaricales; Mycenaceae.